Molecule: long non-coding RNA, 1117 nt
Filed under: Olea europaea subsp. europaea
Lineage: Eukaryota; Viridiplantae; Streptophyta; Magnoliopsida; Lamiales; Oleaceae
Source: RNAcentral
GCGAAAGAAUGAAAUAAACUGUUCGAUGUAUCGUACUCAACUUGGUCCUAAAAAUUCCUAUAAAAUGUUAGGUAUCACAUUAGAUUAUUAUUUUUUUUUUUUUAAAAAAAAAAACUGACUCGGCCUUUGGCCUCGUAGGCCUACGGCCAAGUCCUGCGCCCUUGAGAAUAUCUAAUUUCAAAUGUGCCCUACGCCCUUGAGAAUAUCAUAUUUCAAAUCUACUAACCAAGACCUUUCGAUAGAUACCCAUACAGGUAAUGUUGACUCGACAUUGUCAUUCUCGGCACUCGGCCUCGUCUAAAAAGGAGGCCGAGUGCCUCGUCCUCCGAACUCGAUUUGAAAUAUAUUUCAAAUCUAUUCAUCAAGACCUUUUCAUAGACACCCAUUUAUUUAACUAAAGUUAUGUCGACAUUUUUUUUUCAGAUUCGGUUCUCGGCCUCGUAGGACUAAUCUUGGCCUCGUAGGAUAUGCCUCGGCCUCGGAUAAAAACACCAUAUUUUAAAUCUGCUCAGUAAGCGCUUUCUUUGGAUACCCAUAUCGAUAAUAUCGAAAAGAAAAUGGUUUUAUUUAAAUUUUGGGGCCCCCAUGUGAUUUUUAUACCAUUUGGGGGCAUAUUCGGCGCUCCAUAGCUCAACUCUCGGAGUUUUCCCAGAUAUACGAUUUGUUUGAUAAUAUUGCAAAUGUAUUCUAGUUUCCAACAAAAAAGUUUAAAACAAAUCGUUAGAGCCAUUUUUGAGAAAAUUGUAAAAAAAGUGGGUUUUCAGACAUUUUCCAAAAGUUUGGGGCAACCUGACCCCGCCCCCUGCGGUCUUUUUGAAAAAAAUAUUACACAAACAUUGGGGGAAUAUAUAUUUAAAUAAUCAUGCCAAAUUUCAUCAAAAUCGGUCAAGUGGUUUGAAAGUUAUAACAAAUUAUGUAAAACAAGUGCCUAAAAGGACAGACAGACAGACAGACACACUGACAGACAGACAUUUUUUCAACUUUCGUUUUUUAGAAUCAGGAGGUCAUAAAACGUCGAGAAAAAUAUUUUUUGGCGAAAAAAAUAUUUUUUUUUCCUGCACGAUCAUAAUACUUGGUCUAUAUGUAUAUAGGAUAGGACCAAGUAAAAAAUAGGUAG